GACGAACGCUGGCGGCGUGCUUAACACAUGCAAGUCGAACGAAAAGAGGGAAAGAGCUUGCUCUUUCCGGAAUUGAGUGGCAAACGGGUGAGUAACACGUAAACAACCUGCCUUCAGGAUGGGGACAACAGACGGAAACGACUGCUAAUACCGAAUAAGUUCCAAGAUCCGCAUGGCCCAUGUAAGAAAAGUUGGCCUCUACCUGUAAGCUAUCGCCUGAAGAGGGGUUUGCGUCUGAUUAGCUGGUUGGAGGGGUAACGGCCCACCAAGGCGACGAUCAGUAGCCGGUCUGAGAGGAUGAACGGCCAAACUGGAACUGAGACACGGGCCAGACUCCUAAGGGAGGCAGCAGUGGGGAAUCUUCCGAAAUGGGCGAAAGCCUGACGGAGCAACGCCGCGUGAGUGAUGACGGCCUUCGGGUUGUAAAACUCUGUGAUCCGGGACGAAAAGGCAGAGUGCGAAGAACAAACUGCAUUGACGGUACCGGAAAAGCAAGCCACGGCUAACUACGUG
Molecule: ribosomal RNA, 513 nt
Filed under: uncultured bacterium
Lineage: Bacteria
Description: partial 16S ribosomal RNA
Rfam family: Bacterial small subunit ribosomal RNA
Source: RNAcentral